RNAcentral lists this transfer RNA (76 nucleotides) under Pararhodospirillum photometricum DSM 122. RNAcentral's name for it is "tRNA-Phe". Lineage: Bacteria; Pseudomonadati; Pseudomonadota; Alphaproteobacteria; Rhodospirillales; Rhodospirillaceae. The record is from RNAcentral.
AGUUGGAGGGGCGUGUUGUUGGCUUCCAAAAGUUUUCUGCCCGUGGAGAGAAAGUCGCUGCCGAGGCCAGGGACCA